RNAcentral lists this ribosomal RNA (468 nucleotides) under uncultured bacterium. RNAcentral's name for it is "partial 16S ribosomal RNA". It matches the Rfam family "Bacterial small subunit ribosomal RNA", at positions 28 to 507 of the family's 1533-position model. The record is from RNAcentral.
GACGAACGCUGGCGGCGUGCUUAACACAUGCAAGUCGAACGGAAAGGCCCUGCUUUUGUGGGGCGCUCGAGUGGCGAACGGGUGAGUAACACGUGAGUAACCUGCCCUUGACUUUGGGAUAACUUCAGGAAACUGGGGCUAAUACCGGAUAGGAGCUCCUGCUGCAUGGGGGGGGUUGGAAAGUUUCGGCGGUUGGGGAUGGACUCGCGGCUUAUCAGCUUGUUGGUGGGGUAGUGGCUUACCAAGGCUUUGACGGGUAGCCGGCCUGAGAGGGUGACCGGCCCCAUUGGGACUGAGAUACGGCCCAGACUCCUACGGGAGGCAGCAGUGGGGAAUAUUGCACAAUGGGCGGAAGCCUGAUGCAGCAACGCCGCGUGCGGGAUGACGGCCUUCGGGUUGUAAACCGCUUUCGCCUGUGACGAAGCGUGAGUGACGGUAAUGGGUAAAGAAGCACCGGCUAACUACGUG